Molecule: ribosomal RNA, 467 nt
Filed under: uncultured bacterium
Lineage: Bacteria
Description: partial 16S ribosomal RNA
Rfam family: Bacterial small subunit ribosomal RNA
Source: RNAcentral
GACGAACGCUGGCGGCGUGCUUAACACAUGCAAGUCGAACGGAAAGGCCCUGCUUUUGUGGGGUGCUCGAGUGGCGAACGGGUGAGUAACACGUGAGUAACCUGCCCUUGACUUUGGGAUAACUUCAGGAAACUGGGGCUAAUACCGGAUAGGAGCUCCUGCUGCAUGGUGGGGGUUGGAAAGUUUCGGCGGUUGGGGAUGGACUCGCGGCUUAUCAGCUUGUUGGUGGGGUAGUGGCUUACCAAGGCUUUGACGGGUAGCCGGCCUGAGAGGGUGACCGGCAACAUUGGGAAUGAGAUACGGCCCAGACUCGUACGGGAGGCAGGAGUGGGGAAUAUUGCACAAUGGGCGGAAGCCGGAUGCAGCAACGCCGCGUGCGGGAUGACGGCCUUCGGGGUGUAAACCGCUUUCGCCUGUGACGAAGCGUGAGUGACGGUAAUGGGGAAAGAAGCACCGGCUAACUACGU